UACGUAGGGUGCAAGCGUUAUCCGGAAUUAUUGGGCGUAAAGAGCUCGUAGGCGGUUUGUCGCGUCUGCUGUGAAAACCCGAGGCUCAACCUCGGGCCUGCAGUGGGUACGGGCAGACUGGAGUACUGCAGGGGAGACUGGAAUUCCUGGUGUAGCGGUGGAAUGCGCAGAUAUCAGGAGGAACACCAGUGGCGAAGGCGACUACCUGGCCUGUUCUUGACGCUGAGGCGCGAAAGCUAGGGGAGCAAACGGG
This 253-nucleotide ribosomal RNA is filed under the name uncultured bacterium. Its description in RNAcentral is "partial 16S ribosomal RNA". It matches the Rfam family "Bacterial small subunit ribosomal RNA", at positions 524 to 776 of the family's 1533-position model. The record is from RNAcentral.